UACGAAGGGUGCAAGCGUUACUCGGAAUUACUGGGCGUAAAGCGUGCGUAGGUGGUUUGUUAAGUCUGUUGUGAAAGCCCCGGGCUCAACCUGGGAAUGGCAAUGGAUACUGGCAAGCUAGAGUGCGGUAGAGGGUAGUGAAAUUCCCGGUGUAGCGGUGAAAUGCGUAGAGAUCGGGAGGAACACCAGUGGCGAAGGCGGCUACCUGGACCAGCACUGACACUGAGGCACGAAAGCGUGGGGAGCAAACAGG
Molecule: ribosomal RNA, 253 nt
Filed under: uncultured bacterium
Lineage: Bacteria
Description: partial 16S ribosomal RNA
Rfam family: Bacterial small subunit ribosomal RNA
Source: RNAcentral